Long non-coding RNA from Alligator mississippiensis (American alligator), 10963 nucleotides. RefSeq lists it as uncharacterized. NCBI's taxonomy places the organism in Eukaryota, Metazoa, Chordata, Crocodylia, Alligatoridae. The record is from RefSeq and is a predicted model, not a curated record. The transcript is spliced from 3 exons.
UCUCUAGAAAUCUUUCUCUCUAGAACACCUGGUGUUCCUCUGGCUGAUGGACCAUUUCUCUCAGAUGCCUUUGCUAUUGCACAAUUGUUUUUCCCAUUACUAGUGGGCAAGAACUUGGAUGCCCAGUCCACCAGUGGCCCCUUCUGUCUGUGAUUGAGAGUGGCAAUUGUCCUUGCAAUAGUAAGAGAUACUUUGCAGUUACGCCUACUCUCUUUUCCUUAAUCGUGCAUCCUUCAGUCCCUUGAUUAAGCUGUUAUCAAAAGCAUAACGGUAUAUACAGACAGCAUGACACCCCACAAACCACCAAAAUAUACUGGAGCUUGUGAUAGUGGUCCUUCCCAUUCUUGGAGGAUUGUAUAAGGUCUUAGGAAUUCAAGUAAGUUAAAAAAACUAGUAGGCAAAUGGUUUAAAAGGGCAGAAUAAAUUCUUGAUGCAAGUAUGAAGGUUCAGGAAGUCUAUCAUGUCCUUCAUAGAGCUGUUAAUUCUUGUACUAUACUGAUCAUUCCUGUUAUACAUUGUUUUGUAAUCCAUCACCCUGCCCUUUUCAGAAACAGGGAUGAAAUGUUUGUUGUGAACAUAUGGAGCCACUAAUUUGGGGGCCACUGGUUGGCCUGUAGGAAGGAGGUAAAAGUCUGUGUAAACAAGGAGUGGACACGGACACUCUCUCCAGCCACAAUGCCCUGGGUCUCUGGAAUCAUCAACCCCCAGGCUCAGAGCUCCUCAUUUGCAGCAGGAUGAGACAUAGCUGAUGUAGCAAGCAACUACUUAGGAUAUUUUUUUCUGCAGAGCUGUGACAUCAUGGCUGGCAGCCCCCCAAGGCACCCUAUCCAAUUACCUGAGUCACCAGCAGUGAGAAAUUGCCAAGAGGUUGUCACUGAAUUCUGCUCUGGUAAACAUAAGAGCAGAGAAGGCCAAGAGAAAUGGCUGACAGCAGAGAAAGAGGGUGAGAGUGAGAGAGCAGCAGCAGCAGCAAAGGUCCUUAAUCAGGGAGAUGGAGAAAGAAACUCGAUUAUUGAGUGAUUGAUGCAAGAACCCUAGAAACAGUUGACAGGAGAAACAGUGAUUUUCUUUCUUUCAACCACAAUGCCUAUGUUCACACAAACACACACAGGUGCUUACAUCCUUGCUUAUAUAUGCUUGCUAAUGAAAAAAGACAUGUACAUACAACCACUCUUUACACACUGAAAAUAAAAAUACAUACUCCACCAUAAGCAUACAUAAGCAAAUACACCAUAGCAGAUGCACAUGCACACACACGUACACGCACAAACACUAAAAUCACUUUCAGUUGUGGAUGUUUAUUAUCACACAGUACAAACUCAUAAAUGUGUGCACCCAACCACAAUGAUGAUAAUAUCUGUAUAAACAUUAGCUGCUUAAUAACAUAGUAGUGUCUCUCAUUUGCUGCAUAGGGAGGGACCAAAGACAUUGGCCUAAAUUAUUCUGUCUGCUUUCACUAUGAGAGGAGACAAAACCUUGCAGAAUUCAGACAACGGGCACCAUUCCAGCUACGCAAACAGUAACCCCACUGUGGAGAGGGGGAUCUCUGUGAAAAGAGGAGAGAAUGAGUGUGGAUAGAAAUCCACACCAGCCCUGUAUAGUUUCUAUGGCUGGAAUACUCCUGAUUGAAACACUCAUAGCUUUGGUGAAGUCAUGCCCUUCCCUCUAAUGCCUGCUCUAUAUACCCCAAAUCCCAGAAAUGAGGUAACAUGGCCACCAUAGAAAAACAUGGGAAAUACAACUCACGCUGCUCUCAGGCUCUCUGUCUCAGGCAUGCUUACUGGCACAUGCUCAGAGCCUCUCAAAGUGGUUACACUGCCUCAUUACUGGGAUAUGGAUGCACAAAGUGAAAGGGGAAUAUGCUUUAUGGUAGCACUCCUGAGCUAAGCACAGGGUCAGUCCUUGUGCCUUCCUUGCCUGGAAUAACUAGCAAGGUAUAUGAUGUUCUGAAGCUGGCCCGUGGAACUUUUUGUUUCUAAAGUCAGGCCUCUGGAGGUUUAGUUAAUUAUUUCACCAGAAUUUCACAUACAUAUAGUAGCAAACAGAACUCCCUCCACAGCAGAGGGAAGAAAUAAGGGCUUGUAUUGCUUCAUGAACCAGCUGCUGAAGUGAUGGCUUUAAAUAACACAAAAGUAUCAAGGGCAUAGCAGGCAUAAAUAUACAAAAACACAGCCACGCACACACAGAAUGUCAAGUGUACAUAUAGCACACACAGUUACAUUCACAAAGAGACAGACGUAUGCAUACAUGUGUGCACACAGAAUUAAGACAAAGACAGAAUCAUAUAUGGACACAUAAAAAAGGAAUAAGCAGAGCCCAUAGACCAUGAAAAUAUAUAUCCACUCACAAAUACAUACACACACACACAAAUAUAUGUAUCAUAGUAUCAUGUGUACACACAAAAGCUAUUAAGAUGCAGAUGUGACUUCAUUAAUCUGUGCUGUUUUGCAGACCUCACUCCCUGGCUUUCAUGGGGGAUUUAGGUGAUAAAUGAGACCAUUUCAAAAUCUGGCAAAAUGCCGCUUUCCUCAGAGCUUACUACAUAUUGAAACUCUUAUAUAAUAUGUAAAGCAUGAAGGAUGGGAAGAAGGAAUGGACACAUGCUUGUGUGUGUGUGGGAGGGAGGUUGUGUGUGUAAUCUAUCACCUUCAGCCAGAAUUGCCAUGCGUAUGUAUAUUUAGUAUGUUCAUGCACAUAUGUUUGGAUCAGCACCUGAAAUCAUCUGGGAUGCUUGACCUGAUUUGUAGAUCAGGUGGCCAGAGACAAGGCCUUUGACUUACAUCCACCCCCACCCCAGUCUGCCAAACUUGAAAUCGAUGCCCUCAGGACUAACUACCAAAGCCAAUGAGGUUAAGUAGGGAUGAAGGCUCUAAUUUAUCAUGGAUGGGCAGAGGAUUUUUCCUGAAGUAAAUAUAUGCUAUUGGUAUGCAUGACCUUUGCUUUAUGUUAGUAAACUUUAUGUUAAUACAUUUGAGAAUUUGGAGAGGUGCAUGACAUGAAUGUAGUUAUAUACAGAGUGCUAUCCUGGGAGAUGUGGUAAGGUGAUAAUGUUAACCUGGUAAGACAUGUGAUAAAAUCACUGUGUGCACUUCUUUGAUUGUCCCACUCACAUUCUGCCUAGCACAGUGUGGGCCCUUGAAAAUAACAAAUAAUAAUAAUGAAUAAAUAAUCAACAGCAGAACUACCUCUAACAUAUCUGACUGUUGAACAGUUCACACAAGUGCCAUUUUAAAAAGUAAAUGUGCCAGAGAAAUGGUUCUUUCUUUCUACCUGAAUAAGGAAAUUUCUUUUCAGUUACCUGUCCCAAGAUCCAGCUGAAGUAAAAUUCAAUCCUGAACCAGCAGCAGUUUUAGUGUGAUAUUUCCUGCCCUAUAGAGCUGAAAAUGGGAGUUUUAUCCCACUGGACAGAAAUCAGCCAAGCAAUGAGGGCUGCGCUUUGUGGUAGUCAAGGAGAGCUAGUAUUAUUAUUUACUUAAAAAAUAAAAACUAAUUUUGGACACUCACUGACAAUUUUGAAAUAAGUGACCUAUGCAAGUGGCAGUUAUUACUGUUCCUAUUGUCUUUUCUUCUCCCUUAGGGAUAUUGUUUAUACUAAAUUUUGGAUGUGAGGUUGGAGAACAGGAAGGUAUACACAUGCCAGCUUUAAUCUAGUUAGCCAAGAUAACUGUAUCAGUGAAGUGGUGGUGUUAUGUAUCUAGCUCCUUGAGUGUGCACCAUAGCUUCCCAGUGGGCUCAUAGAGUCCAGGCAGAACCCUGUGCUACCACAUCUGUGCUGCCUGUAUUACUUGAGCAAUCUAGAAUAAAGCUAGCUUGUGUAUGCCUACCUACGCUACAGUCUCAUUUCCCAGAUGUAAGGUAGAUAUAGUCUCAGGCUAUAUCUGCUCUGUAAUCCCAGAAGUGACUACAGUAUGAUGCUGUGGUACCUAAGGAUGUUUUAAAGCAGCUAGCUUGGGUACCAGUAGCAAUCUAGUUAUAGCAGCAUGGAGUUCAACAUGGCUUUUUCACUCUGCUCAGAAAGGAGAACGUUUAAAGCUCUCCAAAGCAUGUCUCAAGUGACUGCUUGUAACAAUGCCAGUUUCAGAAAGAACACAUGAUUAUGCAGAUGGUGUAAGGAUGUUGUUGGAGAGGACCUAAUAACUCACCUAGAGACGUGUGGUCCAAUCCCUUGUACCAGCCCGGGUGACUCUUAUUUGAAUAGAGUUUCAUUUGGGAUUCAAACUGCUGAGUCUCACACCAGCUUCAUUUGCCCAGAGGAAAUCUGUAAUAUUUUAUACAUUCUCCCCAUGCCCCAUUUUGCCCAGUCUGCAGAGGAUGCUGGUUUGUUUACAGCCUUUAGCAUGAGUGCCUGUGCUUCUUUAAUUCAGUGUAUAGAGACUCAUGCUGUCCACUUUGGAGGUCACCACUUUAGUCCCUAAGGUAGGUCAAGAUGGCAGCUGUCAUGUGUGUGUAUGUAUGUUUGUGUGUGUGUAUACCCCUGUGUAUACAGAACUUUGGUGGUAAACAGUCAUACCUAAUAACCUGUGUGUGCAGAUGCACAUCCUGCUUUCAGCUUCAGUGAAUAUAGGAACAUGUAUCUUGUCUUAUGUUUUGUACCAUAAUGCUUUUCCCUGGCAACUGUAUCCAACACUUUUUAGUAAGGAGUGAUUUUAGUAAGGAAUGAAUUACAUAGCUGAAGCUGGGCUAUUCUCUUUUCUAUAGUUGUAAAAUAGGACAUGGGGUGUCUAACUGGGACUUGAGCUAUCAGAUUGCUAGGGAGGAAACAGCAGCACCAGGCAUUCAAAUGAAAUCUAGCCCUGGACCUGCAGAGACCAAAACAGGAAGUGAUUCCCCCUGGGCCUCCAUCCUCCCCACCCCCAACUCAUUUGGAGAGAGGCUGAGCUAGGACUGGAGGUUGUGCAGGGGGCUUGGGGACCCUGAGUGUGGAUAUACGUUCAGCAUUCUGUACACAGUCUGCUUCCUCCAUUGAGAGGUUGUAAAGCACAUGCCAGUGUCUGUGUUCACAGCACUACAGCAUGUAAGGCUGUGUGUGUACUGGCAGGGAGUAGUAAUGACACUCAUGGAGAAGAGUUUCCUUUCUUCUCUGCAAAAUCUCCUCUUCCCCUGCCUGCCCCUCCCCAUGUCCCAUGUCUUUUGGUAGCUCCUCAUCUGUGCAGAAUUUCAGGCACUUGGGGCUCCCAGGAGAGAGUGUCAUUUUCGUGUUAAAGAUGCUUAUUGAAUUUGACAAACAAUGAUUUAUGACAGGGCAACCCACAUGGGGCACAGUGAGGAAUCUCAGCUCCUCGUCACAGCCUGGGGACCUGUUUCAUUCCCGUCUCAGCUCCUUGCUGCCUCUCAUUGGAGCUCUGAGCAGAUCAGAUUCGACAGAUGCAGGGAGUUUAUUUCUUAGCAGAAAGAAAGGGACAAUGAGACAAUGGGAGCAGGGUGGGGAGUUCAUCUCAGGUGUCAGUCUCUGAUCCUGGGUGGUUCUUUCAGACCCGGUUGGAUGCUAAUCAGGUGACGUGGGCUGGAAUCCAGCUCUCUGGAGCUCUGCCCUGCCACAAGGAUAAUCUGGGUUCAGUUUGGAGGUUCUGUCUCCUGGCUUUUAGGCCAGUAGGAAGCUAGAGGUGUAACAUGAGUCAUCUGAGAGGCCCUGUGAUUAAUACAGUAAUUUGUCCUUCCAUGUAGGAGAGCUAAGUUCAGUGCCCUUGCCUAGUCUGACCCAGACUAACUGGGGCAGGAGUAUGAUGGACAUUAGGAUGUCCAACCCCUGGAAUGGGAAAGGGGUGCACAUUGAUCUCUGUCUAACCUAGAAACUACACUCAUAAAAGACUCAAGAUCUUCUCAUCUGAAGGAAGGGCUGCUUCAAUUAAAUGGGUGUCUGUGAAGCAGGAACUUAACUGGUACCACAUCUGUGUUCAAAGUGAGGCCAUUAGCACGGACUUUAUUGCCUCCCCAAGGUAGUGAAGGAGCAUUUUGUAUUUUAUUAUUAGACAGUGACAUAAUUUAAAGUGCAUCAAGAAUGAGGAUUAUGAGACAUUCAUUUUUCUGAAGAGAUUUUAAGCGCCACAUUUCCGUUAACAGGCCCCCAGAGACAAAGGAAAGGCAGUGGAUACUAAUGCUUGGAUCUGGGGACUGCAAUUCAGGACUCCCACAUUUUAUCCCUGCUGAUUUGUUGUGGAGACUUGGCCAAGUCAUUUCCCCUUUCUGUGCCCCAGUUUGCCCUUUGUAAAAGGGGGAGAAUGAUUCUCACAUGCCAAAAGGUAUUGUGAGGGUGAAUUAACUAAUUUGCUUUGAGUCCUAUAAUGGAAAAGCAAAGAGCACAGGAUUAUUAUUACAAAUGGAUUUUGGUACAUGGACCUGGCUGUGAGCCUGGCUAGACACACAUGUCAUGUUCUCAUGCAUGGCAGUGCGCCACUGGAAAGGCUAUGCCAGGUUUUCUCAAUGGGUGGCCUAACUCCAAUUAGAGAGAGACAAAAGGACUCUGAUAAGGGUGCUACCCCUUCUGGCCUAAGGGAGUAGCCAGUAUUCAGGAUCCAACAGGUUGUUUUUGUUAGAGAAAGAAACUGAGGACAGAGCCAGGGUUUCUUGGAUGGAAUCUUGUUUAUUUACAAAGAGGGCAUGCAAAGUCCCAUUUCCAUGGCCACAGCAGGAGUCCAACAGCAGGACACAGUUUAAAAGCCUCUUUUGAGCCAACACUCUACCCAGAAGCUCUCUUUUCUCAGCAUCCUACUACAAAUGCCUCCCUGGCAGUCUCUGGGUCUUCCUUGCUGACUUCUCUCCAUGCUUCCAGUUUUUUGGGUUUUUUUCCCCAUAAGCAGUUCUGCCAAAACCACCCAGUUUCAUGUGCUUGCAGUCUGGUUCGAAUCAAGUCCCCCUACUCACCCAAUUCAAAUUUCUUCAUGGCCUUGCAUGUAGCUUAUGUUUUGGGUGGUGGUUCCUGUUGUUGCAGUUACCUGUUCUAUAAAGGAACUUAUCUUAUAUCUAACAUUCAUUCUGAAUGAAGGACAUCUGUUUCUCCCCCCCUGCUCUGAGGGGGUUUUGCCCAGCUCCAGCAUAACAAAUGUAAAUAUCUCCCUAAUUCAUUCAGCUCCCUCCAAAUGCACCAGCUUUCCUGGUUGGUGGGAAAGGAAGAGGCCUAAAAUGCUUAGGGUGGCUAUGGAGUAGGAUAUGCUAUUUCAACAGUAGCAAACACCAAGCACCUUUUUGGGUUCCUGUUGGGAGAAUGCUGUAACCACUAGGAUUUCUGCCAGACCAGGCACAUUCUUUCUGGUGACAUACUUGCUCUGAACUGCAGGCAGAAAAUCUUCCUGGCUGGAUUUGACUGCAGGUCCACACUGACCUGAGGGUUGCAGAAUCCCCAGGGUGGCCAGCAGGAGAAACAAAAGUUCAGACAGCAGAGGUGUGUGCACAGAGACUCACUCUCCAGCAUCACACAUGUACACACACAGCAGGUGAACUCAACUAUUCAGCCAUGGGAAGAUGCACUUGGUUGGAUAGAGCAUAUAUAGGUACAGGCUUUAUGCCCAAAUUCUUGGUUGGACUGGAAGCACUGGGGGAAACUGGGGCUGCCAUCUGAGACAACACUGGCUACUGUAUUAGCUCUGUGGGGCUAGACUAGCCUAGAAAUCCGUAGCAGUUGUGUGAGGCCUGUCCAUAAACGGCUACAGAAGUCAAAGUACCUGAAGUGUCUCCUGUAAUACUGUGUCCUUUCAAUCCCAUUGUUUGGGGCAUAACUGCUGGAGCUAUUCUGAGAGCUUCUCACAUGACCACCAUGCCCUUGGAAAGUGUGUAUGCAAAGCAGUAUCUCCCUUCAUGUACCUCACCCAGAAAUUUGCAUUCCAAGAAACUCUCGCCUGUGAGAUACCGGAACCAUAGUCCUCUUUGGAGGUUCCUUCUAUAAUGUAGCUUGCAGUCACCAUUAAGGGAUUGCUGGGUUGUGAGCCAGAUACAGAUAGGCAAAGGAAGAUGAUAGGGUUUGUGCAAUCUGGAAAAUGGCCUCUCUACGGAGGGAGCUGGGAAUGUUCACUUUCCAAAGGCCUCCAGCCCCCUUACCCUGGGCCUCAGCAUGUCACUAGCUAUUCUCAGCCCUCUCUUUGUAGGAGGAUGGCUUUAAUAUUUGGGUUCAGUUACCUGUUACAGUUUACAAAGGUUCAUUUCAGUUUUGGCCUACAGCCUUACCUUGCUGUUUCAGUCUUACCACUCCCCCCUCCCUCUACCUCCAUUCUACCAUUGCAUCUGCAGCAUCUGCACUGUUGCUCUCCUGAGGCCCAUAGAGAACCCAACGAGUACACCUUGACCCUGUGCUGUGGCCCCCAGCUAUUUCUGUUCUGGCCCCCUCACAUUUCAGUUAGUGUUCCUCAUUUGUAGCCCCUUGCUAUUCUUGUCCCGGAAUCCCUCAAUCCUCUCUGAGACACACAGCCCUGCCCUGCAGCACUUCACUCAAUUCCAGCUCUUGGCUUCCACAUGCAAACACCAUCCAGAUGAACAUACUGUGUGGGUAGGUUCAUCCAGAAAUUUGGGCCCUACACUUGCUUGUGGGGAGCAGGGUGCAGGGACAUUUAGUUGAGAUGCCCCUUGAGAUUGCAAGGCACAGAAAGUGAGUCUUGGGGAAACUGUGAGCAGGCUUAUAUCAAGCCCUUGCUGUGGGAACGGCACAGGACUGGUGGUGGGUUGGUGAAAAGCCUGGAGGGAGACACUGUCUCCUGGCAGGCAUGCAGGCACAGAGGAGGGGUGUGGAGCAUGUGGCUCCCACAGAUGGAACCCGUUAGCCUGGAAUGUCUGUGAUGUGGUCUGAAGCAGUGUAAACAAGAGCCAUGAAUUAUCCAGCACCUUGUAAGCAGGACUGGAGAGGAUCCCCUCCUUCCCUCUCCUUUUUCCUAUCUCCCUCCCUCCUUUCACCUCCCCUUGCUUCCCCCAUAUCAUUAGUCUCCUUAUUUUGACAAAGCAGUUAGUGAAGCGGUGUUUUCCCCAGUCUUAACUCCUCCUGUCUGCACUGGGAUCCAUGGGAUGAGGGGAGGACUACAAUCUGUCUGCACCCUGAGAGGGACCUUGGUCUAAACUCAUAUGCUGCCUCUGAGCUAAAUCCAGCCCUGGGUAGGUAGGUACAACUCUCAUUGGCUCCCUAUGCACAGCAGUCUCCCAAAGCACAAGUGCCAACUGUUGAGACCCCAAACCCAACUGGCUUCCCUUAUUAUCCCUCCAGCUGGCUCAGGAGGAAGAGAGACGUGGGAGACUGAGGGUUCCCAGGCUAGGCCAGAAUACUGUAGCACCUUUCACUACAUUUACAUUUACGGAGCAGAGGGAAGAGUAAUAUGAAGCUCUUCAGAGGAUAUUGUGGUGAGACAGAAACUCCUUCACCUACCAACUCCUUACAAAGCAGCCGCACUGACCACAUGCAGGCAACUUUAAAAGAGAAGAUGCUGGCUGGAUGUAUCCGUCACAGGAAGAGACAGAGGAAUCAGGCUCCCUGCCACCAACCUCGAACUUCAGCAAGCGGGAUGUGGGAAAAACCAAAUGCCAGCUGCAGCCAAGUUAAACUGCAAAAGACCUUCAUUCCUGAGCAAUUUUUAAUUAAAUGCUGGAUAGAGCCUGCCAGAUUCCAUUGAAAAUGACUGUGUCAACUGGUUUUAAAUAACAGUAUUUCAUAUUUAUGUUUUUAUGUUACUUUCCAUUGUUUGUUGAUUUCCCUUUAGACACUUGGAAAUUUCAGUCUUUGACCCAGCGAUGUUUUGUUCCUUCUUAUUUGGCAGACAGAUAUGUAGUUAUUGUAUCAGUCCAACUUGAAACAAAAUGGCUGUUUGGUAACCUGCUAGUGAACUGCUGCUGUAGGGUCAGCAGGGGGAGCUCAUAACUAGACUUUUUAUAGGUCCUGCAGAAACCCUGCUUGUUUCUGUUAAUGGUUGUUCAGUGCAUCUCCACUUGAUAUUGCCUGCUGGAUUACUAUGGGUCCUACUGCACUUCAUAUGAAACAGCUUGAGCCUAUUUGAAAUGAACUCCUCAUGCAUUUUUUACCUUUACUCUUUGCUAAAUCACCUGCUAAUUGUGCAGCUUCCAGUGUGCAGCAUUUUCCACUGUGUCCAAAAUAUCUUUUUGUAAUUCCAUGUCAUCUAAUGAGCCAGGAAAUAAAACUCCAUCCUCUCCCAGCACUUCUUGGGUGUCAUACCCUUAUUAUGCACUGUCAGAAGAGCUAGGCAGACAAGUUUCUUUGGGUGAAUCUGAUAUCUUUUAUUAGAUCAAGUUGGCUGCAUCUAGAUGAGUGCAUACGUGUGGUUUGCAGCACCACAGACCUGUCUGUGGCACCACAAAUCACACAUGACACACAUGCAGGUGUUCACUGCCCUGCUAAUUUGCAGCACGACAGGUUUUUUUGACACUGGGAGAUCCCAGUGUCAAAAAACCUGUGCCAGAAAAAAGCAGGCUGGUGCAGCAGUGUGUGCCAUCUGAAAUUGGAGCUUGGCCAGCUAGAGCCAUGCUCCGGCUGCUGGCCAGGCUCCAUGCAUCUAGAUCACUGCUGCUGGAACCCCAGGAGGCCCCCAGGACCCCAUGUAAGGCUGCUGGGGCCAGCCCUGGUGCUGGCCCCAGCCUACCCUGCCCCAUCUGGGGUAACUUGCCAUGGCCCAGAGUGCCCAUGAAGGGGUGUUCCCCAGGGACAACUAGCAGUGGCAUAAAUAUGUGCCACUGCUAGUUGUCCCCAGGGAAUGCAUGUUCCCACUUGUGGGGACACGCCCAUAGUGCCCAUCUGGUUCCUGCUUACAGAAGAACUUGAGCAAUAAUAUCAGAGAUAAGAGCCGGUCCUCACUGCCUUCCUUCCUCCAGUAUACUUAAUCUUAACCUUUAACUCUAAAAUGCUGUCUCCAAUAAACAUUUACCCCCUUAUUUAUGUGAACUAAGCAAUUUUUGAGUAGGCAAAGGUACCAUGAUCUGCCUGAGUCAGGCAUAGUAGGGAGAGAGGCACUGUACUUAGCAGCCUUACUCCUGUCCAGAG